CUGGCCGAUGGGGAGGGGAGAGCAGAUUUUGUGGAUGACCUGCCGCUCUCCCAUACUGCCGGCGGGAUUGGCAUAAACGCUCAUACAGGAUUCAACCCUGUCUCUGCUUCAUUGGCUCAAGUAGUGACCAGCAGCCCAGGCCUGUUGGUUGUCCGGUUUUACAUUCUGGCCACUCUGGUGGGACGAGAAGAAGGGGAGUCCUCCGGGGUGACUACUGGGGAUCCCACUUGCUGUCUGGACUGGGGUUCCUGGGGCUGAGGCCUGGACUCUUAUCCGAAGCACUGCCAGGAAUGCUCCUGUUGGAGUCCCAGCCACAGCCUCAGCCAUCCCCGUGGGCGGAUGCCAUCGGGGAUGAAAGACUGCAAAAGAACUGGGCUCCUGGGAACCCUCAACUGCCUCUCCACGGCCCAGACCGCGUGAGGAAGGGCCUACUGUGCUCAACGUACAACUCCCAUAUGGAACCAGAUGAGGAAUCAAUCAACUGGUACAUGAAUCUUCCAACAUGGGAGGAUGGUCAACAGUGCUUGGGAGGACACGCCAGCUCUCCCCGAAGGAAUCACUUGCCAACACACUGAGCCGGUUCUGGGUCCCCGCGGGCAGCACAGACAGGAACUGGCGGCAAGAAAAGGUGCCACCAGGUUUCUGAGGCCAGAGCAGCGCUGAGCCACAGAGGGCCCAUGUGGCAAGGCCUGGCGAGCGGACGCCCACAAGGUGGCGCUGGUGAGACCAGAACAAGACCACGGAUAAACGAGAAGAGCCGCGGAGCAGAGGGCAAACACCCCUCUUGGGAACUGGGAAAGGCCUCCUGGACUGAAAUUGGACUGAAAUUCGGGAAAUAGGAGGAACCUGAGCUGAGCUGAGCUGGUUUCAGCUCCCAGUGAGACUUGAAAUAAGUUUUACAAAAAUAAAGAAAAUGAUAUGCCGUGCA
Molecule: long non-coding RNA, 928 nt
Organism: Myotis brandtii (Brandt's bat)
Lineage: Eukaryota; Metazoa; Chordata; Mammalia; Chiroptera; Vespertilionidae
Exons: 2
Source: RefSeq, a predicted model, not a curated record